Molecule: long non-coding RNA, 316 nt
Organism: Sebastes umbrosus (honeycomb rockfish)
Lineage: Eukaryota; Metazoa; Chordata; Actinopteri; Perciformes; Sebastidae
Exons: 3
Source: RefSeq, a predicted model, not a curated record
CUCCUCUCCUCUCCUCCUCUCCUCCUCUCCUCCUCUCCUCCUCUCCUCUCCUCCUCUCUGAGUCAUCAGGGUUCACCUGAUCAUUAUUUUCUGAAGUAUAUUUAAGUAAAUAUAAGUUAAUUUGAGAUAAUGAGAGGAGCUCCAGGAGACCAGAAGGUCUGGAGAAACCCUCCACUGAUACCAGGAUGCAGAUAUAGUCCACAUGAAGCUCUAAAAGAGGCAUCACAAUAGAUUUGAUAUAUUAUAACUUAAAGUCGCUCAAUAAGACGAUCAGACUCAUCAUCAUCAUCAUCCUCAUCAUCAUCAUCAUCAUCAU